AUGGCGGAGGGCCUAAGAAAAAGAUGCAAAAAUGAAGGAAAUUUGAUGGAGUCAAAUGGUGGUAAAACCAAGAUGAGCAGCUCGGGCACGUCGCUAGCUUUUCAACGAGCCAAAGAACACCCAAAUCGGAGUUCGGGAGUGGAAGUUAUGACCAAAAACGUAAAGUGGGCGCAGCUGAUUCUGGGAGGGCCGUGCGCACGGGGUCCAAGGCUCGUGGACACGGGGUCCCGUGCGCACGGUACACGUACCGAGGACACGGGGUCACCAGAGACUUCGCGGGGGCCCGUGGGCACGGGGUGGGGAGCUCGUGGGCAUGGGGUAGGCGGAAAAUUCACAAUUUUCUUGUCAAAUUCGAAGGGGGGGAGAAAAAUUGGGGUAUGGAGACGCAAUAGGAGUUAG
RNAcentral lists this ribosomal RNA (399 nucleotides) under Triticum aestivum (bread wheat). RNAcentral describes it as "partial small subunit ribosomal RNA". The record is from RNAcentral. Lineage: Eukaryota; Viridiplantae; Streptophyta; Magnoliopsida; Poales; Poaceae.